GUGCUGAAGCUAAAGGAGCUUUGGUCUUGGAAAUCUUAGUAACUGUUGGCACUGGAGCUUGUGGGAGAAAAAAAACUUCUGAUAACUGCAACUGCAACUUCCUGUGAAGUGAAAUACCAGAAAUUCAGUGCUUAUCGAUGCAGCUCAAAUUGUAUCCCAGUUGUCUUCUAGUUAAUAGCCAACCUAUUUAAAACGUUGGAUAGAAAAAACAGGCACUUCAGUGAUCAAUUUCUGAGGAUCUUGGUGGCGAGAUGGACGACUAUGGCAGAAACGUGCUGUUAGGACAUCAUUUGUUGGAGACCUCCGGCAGUCCACCGCAGUAUAAUAUAAGUGCUCUCCUCCUCUCACCAAUACCACUCCGCGUUUAUCUUCGGAUAGACACUGGCGGCUCAGGACCUUAUGGAAUGGACCAGUAUAUCCCGCAAAAAUGGAACAAAAUGGCAGCAAAGAACUCAAAAGUCAUAUAUGCCAUCUUAAGUCAGUAUCACUAUGGAUGAUGGAGAGCAACAUAUCCAUCUAAACAAAUGUUGCCCCUAGAACACUAAUACUGCGAAGAACUUGCGCAUGUGGUUUCUUUUUAUGACAACUUGACAAGUCUGUCUUAUAUAGUUAAAUCUGCUGAGAAGGAUGAUAAGAUGUUAGGUGUGCUGAGAGGCAUGAUUCGUAUGGCAAAUCAAGAAAAUUGCCAAAUGACAGAAGCUAUCGGCUGGCUGGAAAGUUGAAGAUAAAACAUCUAGAUUGAAUUAAAUGAUGGCCUUUAACAGCAACAUGUAACAAACCCUGUAUGAUGGUAACAUUUAUUGGUGGUAACAUCUGAAUGACCUGUCUUGUAGAUACUUCAGUAACUGUACCGUAACACCAUCAUGUGAAACUGAAACUGUAAUUCAAAAUUGAGGUGAUAUAUAUUCGCCUUACAUACCUCAAAUCGCUGUGAGUUCAACUCCACCGCAUGCUAUCUUCCUCUCUGGCUGUAAGUGGAAAGGUCUCAGCAACCUGCAGAAGGUCGUGGGUUUCCCUAGAGCCCGGUUUCAUCCCACCAUAUUGCUGGCUGCUGUCGUAUAAGUGAAAUAUUCUUAGCACGGCGUAAACACCAAUCAAAUAAGUAAAUAAAGACAUACCCCAAUGUAUGGACAUAUCUGAUUUUUGUAAAUACAAUUACAGGGCUGGAAAAAUGUGGAUUUUUUUUAGGCGCUCUGGCAGGCAACCAAGACGUUCAACUGUGGUUGGCCCCUUUCACCUUGGUUGCCGCCCACUUUUUAUGUCAUUUUGGUAUGUGAUCAUUUAAAGUACAAUACAAUAAAAUACAAUGACAUAAAUAAUAUCUGAUAAAAGUGAUUUUCUGAUUGGUGCUGAAAUCAUUAAUACUGAGAAAUGGUUAAAUACGUUUUGAUCCAUCAGUUAUGUUGCCUUUGAAUACCCUUUUGAAAAGUAUGGAAUGGAAUUUUUAGGCAGCCAUAUGCAUUUUCAUUGAUGUACGGUUCGGAUGACAGUCCAAUUACAUUUUUGUGAACAGAAUUUUUUGGACAUGUAUUUUUUGACCAAAUUCAAAGCACGGUCGAUUCAUGAAUGAAAUGUA
Molecule: long non-coding RNA, 1576 nt
Organism: Liolophura sinensis
Lineage: Eukaryota; Metazoa; Mollusca; Polyplacophora; Chitonida; Chitonidae
Exons: 4
Source: RefSeq, a predicted model, not a curated record